RNAcentral lists this ribosomal RNA (699 nucleotides) under bacterium Y14. Its description in RNAcentral is "bacterial SSU rRNA". It matches the Rfam family "Bacterial small subunit ribosomal RNA", at positions 59 to 740 of the family's 1533-position model. The record is from RNAcentral.
AGGCUCAUUAAGGGUAUCUGGAGCUUGCUCCCGGAUGUUAGCGGCGGACGGGUGAGUAACACGUGGGUAACCUGCCUGUAAGACUGGGAUAACUCCGGGAAACCGGAGCUAAUACCGGAUAGUUCCUUGAACCGCAUGGUUCAAGGAUGAAAGACGGUUUCGGCUGUCACUUACAGAUGGACCCGCGGCGCAUUAGCUAGUUGGUGAGGUAACGGCUCACCAAGGCGACGAUGCGUAGCCGACCUGAGAGGGUGAUCGGCCACACUGGGACUGAGACACGGCCCAGACUCCUACGGGAGGCAGCAGUAGGGAAUCUUCCGCAAUGGACGAAAGUCUGACGGAGCAACGCCGCGUGAGUGAUGAAGGUUUUCGGAUCGUAAAGCUCUGUUGUUAGGGAAGAACAAGUGCAAGAGUAACUGCUUGCACCUUGACGGUACCUAACCAGAAAGCCACGGCUAACUACGUGCCAGCAGCCGCGGUAAUACGUAGGUGGCAAGCGUUGUCCGGAAUUAUUGGGCGUAAAGGGCUCGCAGGCGGUUUCUUAAGUCUGAUGUGAAAGCCCCCGGCUCAACCGGGGAGGGUCAUUGGAAACUGGGAAACUUGAGUGCAGAAGAGGAGAGUGGAAUUCCACGUGUAGCGGUGAAAUGCGUAGAGAUGUGGAGGAACACCAGUGGCGAAGGCGACUCUCUGGUCUGUAAC